RNAcentral lists this ribosomal RNA (433 nucleotides) under uncultured bacterium. RNAcentral describes it as "partial 16S ribosomal RNA". It matches the Rfam family "Bacterial small subunit ribosomal RNA", at positions 29 to 507 of the family's 1533-position model. The record is from RNAcentral.
AACGAACGCUGGCGGCAUGCCUAACACAUGCAAGUCGAACGAGACCUUCGGGCCUAGUGGCGCACGGGUGCGUAACGCGUGGGAACCUGCCCUUAGGUUCGGAAUAACUCCCCGAAAGGGGUGCUAAUACCGGAUAAUGUCCUCGGACCAAGGAUUUAUCGCCUUUGGAUGGGCCCGCGUUGGAUUAGCUAGUUAGUACGGUAAAAGCCUACCAAGGCGACGGUACAUAGCUGGUCUGAGAGGAUGAUCAGCCACACUGGGACUGCGACACGGCCCAGACUCCUACAGGAGGCAGCAGUGGGGAAUCUUGGACAGUGGUCGAAAGCCUGAUCCAGCUAUGCCGCGUGAGUGAUGCAGGCCUUAGAGUUGUAAAGCUCUUUUACCCGGGAUGAUAAUGACGGUACCGGGAGAAUAAGCUCCGGCUAACUCCGUG